This 476-nucleotide ribosomal RNA is filed under the name uncultured organism. Its description in RNAcentral is "partial 16S ribosomal RNA". It matches the Rfam family "Bacterial small subunit ribosomal RNA", at positions 332 to 799 of the family's 1533-position model. The record is from RNAcentral.
UACACUCCUACGGGAGGCAGCAGUGGGGAAUUUUGGACAAUGGGCGAAAGCCUGAUCCAGCAAUGCCGCGUGAGUGAAGAAGGCCUUCGGGUUGUAAAGCUCUUUUGUCAGGGAAGAAACGGUGAAAGCUAAUAUCUUUUGCUAAUGACGGUACCUGAAGAAUAAGCACCGGCUAACUACGUGCCAGCAGCCGCGGUAAUACGUAGGGUGCAAGCGUUAAUCGGAAUUACUGGGCGUAAAGCGUGCGCAGGCGGUUUUGUAAGUCUGAUGUGAAAUCCCCGGGCUCAACCUGGGAAUUGCAUUGGAGACUGCAAGGCUAGAAUCUGGCAGAGGGGGGUAGAAUUCCACGUGUAGCAGUGAAAUGCGUAGAUAUGUGGAGGAACACCGAUGGCGAAGGCAGCCCCCUGGGUCAAGAUUGACGCUCAUGCACGAAAGCGUGGGGAGCAAACAGGAUUAGAUACCCUUGUAGUCCCAUG